Molecule: long non-coding RNA, 2107 nt
Filed under: Mastacembelus armatus (zig-zag eel)
Lineage: Eukaryota; Metazoa; Chordata; Actinopteri; Synbranchiformes; Mastacembelidae
Description: lncRNA (ENSMAMG00000026856.1)
Source: RNAcentral
AUAUUUGUGUGUGACACAGCUGUGAUAGGUUAAGAGUCAGACGUUAAACCUGUCUCUGGUUCCAAUUUCAGGCCAGCUCCUCUUUUGGCAAAUGGAAAACACUCCAAGGUGCCACCGGACGUAAAGAUGGGGCCGGUUUCUACACUUAACAUGGUCAUGUGAUUUUUUUUUUUUUUUGGAGGUUGUUUGGCCCAGAGCAGCAUCACGCGGCCUGGCAUAGCCGGCCUGCACAGUCAUGUGAUCUCCGCAGUGGCUGCUGCCUGGGAGAAGAAAAGGGAAGUGUGUGUCGGAACCCGUUUUCGGCCCAGCUGGGAGGUCAGAGGUCAACUCAACGCUGAUCCAAUCAGUUCAAGCCACAAAAGGGCCGACUCAAUAUUACUCUGUCUCUUUUCCCUCUCUCCGCUGGCUCUAAAACUCUCUUUCUUUUCUUCUUUGCUUCUUGCCCUCUGGUGUGACCCAAAUGUCUCUUCUGGAAGCCUGAGGCUGACUGUGAUUACAGAUAUGCAGAUUGAAUUAGUAUACUUCAGCAUCACCAGGAAAUCACGCAUCAAGGCCCAGAGCUGGACGUGGACUAUCUGGGCACUAGCACCUCAAUCUGUACAGCCCACUGUUCAAAAAGAGCAAGAGCCCUAAAUGUGAAAUUAGUAAAGGUUGAAACUGCAAAGCUUUGAAGCACUGGGACAAAACCUGACUUUGUGUCUACCCCGAUGAGCUGGGUUUGAACGGAUCAGACUGAGGGAGAGCAGACAGACGGCAAAAAGAGCCACAAGGAUUUGAUCUCUUUAAUGAUUGAUCGCUUUAAUGAUUAUAGCUCAAAUACAAAAGUGUAAUGGUAGACAUCACAGAAACUGGGUCACAAACAAAACCUUAAGGAAAAUAUAUUCAAAGUCUACUUUUAACCUUUUUUUUUGGAAAAACCCACUUUUUAACGUUUGUUUUUUGUUUGGAUCUGAUGUUUUUCUGUGAAUUGGAGUAAAACUUUAAACUUUGAACUGAUUACUAUAGUACAGGUCAGUCUGUAGCUUUAAACCAAUUCAGCUACAUGUGUAGUAUCAGAAAGUACAUGUAUUUCCCAGACAAAGCUCUUUCACUGUCCGCAGCCAUCUCUCCCAGCAUCAGCAGCUUGUUUAUGAUCAUGAGACUGAGUGAACAUGACCUAACCAGGGGGCUGAGAAACAACUGAAAAAGUGCUGAGCUGAUGAUUUGUUGUUGCUAUAAUCAUGAUAGCUCUGUGUUUGCUUUUAUUUACGGCAAAUACGGUUCUAAGAAAACCCAUCAGAGCCGUGCCAGUCCGUCUAGAACUCUGAUUUGUUUUCCUAAAAGAGAUGAAUCUGAUCUGUGUAAUAUGUAGAGAAACUGUGCCCGCUAUGCUGUAGCACUUCCUCCCCGCAGAAACACAUACUUCCUCCCCCUGCAGGACUGACAGCUCUUCACCACCUUCCUCCUCCAGCAGCUGCAUCCAUAAAGACAUGAGUUUAUGUGGCAUGUUGUGGAUGACUUUACAUGAAGCAGCUGCAUUAUAACAUCCAUCUUACUUAGAUAGAAUUACUACACCUCUCCUGCUGCCUCCUCUAUUUCUCCUCCAAGCCAGUUAUCGUCAUCUCCAGCAACAAGUGGCCUCUUCCCUCGAUGAAUUUCUACAUCCAUGGAAAUGCAGUCUGCUCCUGACAAAGGAAGCGUUUGAGGGUGUUUCAUUGAUUCCGCACAGGGGUGACAGGUACACACGGAGGAAGUGGGUUUAUUGUUAACAAAAAUAUAACAAGUGCGCACGCAGCUAAAUACACAACAGACACACUUUAUGGUUUUCCAUGGCAGUUUUCUCUUUUCUCUUCUUCUGCUCUUGAUCAAUCCGAGGGAACGGGCUGCUAAAAUAAAAUUUUAGUGCCAUGGUAAUGUUGCGAAGCAGCAUGGCGCCACAGCUAAUGGAGAGAUCAUAUCUACAUCCCCAUUCCUGCACCCAGCUCCAUGUUAAACCCCAGUGUCUGUCAUCAUCUUGAGCUCCCAGCACGGGGACACAAUGGGCCCUGAAAGUUCAAACGUCCGGACGUAAAAUAAAAAUAGAAUUACAAGAAUGUGUUAUUUUUAGAGGUUAUAAAAAAGGUGGGGG